RNAcentral lists this ribosomal RNA (253 nucleotides) under uncultured bacterium. RNAcentral describes it as "partial 16S ribosomal RNA". It matches the Rfam family "Bacterial small subunit ribosomal RNA", at positions 524 to 776 of the family's 1533-position model. The record is from RNAcentral.
UACGUGGGUGGCGAGCGUUGUCCGGAUUUACUGGGCGUAAAGGGAGCGUAGGCGGAUUUUUAAGUGAGAUGUGAAAUACUCGGGCUCAACUUGAGUGCUGCAUUUCAAACUGGAAGUCUAGAGUGCAGGAGAGGAGAAUGGAAUUCCUAGUGUAGCGGUGAAAUGCGUAGAGAUUAGGAAGAACACCAGUGGCGAAGGCGAUUCUCUGGACUGUAACUGACGCUGAGGCUCGAAAGCGUGGGGAGCAAACAGG